AGAUACCCGACCUAUUGUCAUUUGCACGAUUGGGGAAGAACGGGAGCGUGUGGCGUUUUGUGGUUUGUGACGGAUCGACCCGAGAGGGUGGAACUGGAACGGCCCGCGCCGGCGCUGCUGCCCUGACGAACGAGAACUUCGGCGGAAGAGGUAGACUAGAUCUGCCCGCCGCCGGCCGUAAACGUAUUUUACUCUGCAACGAGAAUGUGAAGCCUGAUGUACCAAAACAAAAUGAAAAGCAAAACUUUCAACAACGGAUCUCUUGGCUCUGGCAACGAUGAAGAACGCAGCGAAACGCGAAAGGUAAUGCGAAUUGCAGAAUCAGUGAGUCAUCGAAUCUUUGAACGCACAUUGCGCCUCUCGGUAUUCCGGGAGGCACGCCUGUUCGAGCGCCAUUACACACCCCAAGCUGUGCUUGAUGUUGGACGCUGUCUGUGAAAGGACAGGUCUGGAACGCGUGGGCGCCGCCGCCGGACCACGAGCGUAGCAAGACGCAAGUCAUUCGCUCUGUGGACUCUGGUGAGUGGUUGUCGUGAUGCCGGGUAAGAGCGGCAUCAAAAGACAUAUAAAGUUUGGCCUCGGAUCAGGCGGGGAUACCCGCUGAACUUAAGCAUAUCAAUAAGCGGAGGAGAAACCAACAGGGAUUGCCCUAGUAACG
Molecule: ribosomal RNA, 658 nt
Filed under: uncultured fungus
Lineage: Eukaryota; Fungi
Description: eukaryotic LSU rRNA
Rfam family: 5.8S ribosomal RNA (bases 243-395)
Source: RNAcentral